AACGAACGCUGGCGGCAUGCCUAACACAUGCAAGUCGAACGAGACCUUCGGGUCUAUUUGCGCACGAGUGCGUAACGCGUGGGAACCUGCCCUUAUGUUCGGAAUAACUCCCCGAAAGGGGUGCUAAUACCGGAUAAUGUCUUCUGACCAAAGAUUUAUCGCCUUUGGAUGGUCCCGCGUUGGAUUAGCUAGUUGGUAGGGUAAAAGCCUACCAAGGCGACGAUCCAUAGCUGGUCUGAGAGGAUGAUCAGCCACACUGGGACUGAGACACGGCCCAGACUCCUACGGGAGGCAGCAGUAGGGAAUAUUGGAAAAUGGGCGAAAGCCUGAUCCAGCAAUGCCGCGUGAGUGAUGAAGGCCUUAGGGUUGUAAAGCUCUUUUAAACGGGAUGAUAAUGACAGUAACGGGAGAAUAAGCUCCGGCUAACUCCGUG
Molecule: ribosomal RNA, 433 nt
Filed under: uncultured bacterium
Lineage: Bacteria
Description: partial 16S ribosomal RNA
Rfam family: Bacterial small subunit ribosomal RNA
Source: RNAcentral